GUACACGCUGUGACUAGCAUAUCAAUAAGCGGAGGAAAAGAAACUAACAAGGAUUCCCCUAGUAACGGCGAGUGAAGCGGGAAGAGCUCAAAUUUGAAAUCUUAAAGGGUUUCCCUUUACGAAUUGUAGUUUAAAGAAGUGUUUUCUGUUGAGGUUUUGGUAAAAGUUCUUUGGAAUAGGACAUCAUAGAGGGUGAGAAUCCCGUAUUUGACCUUUACUUUCAACUUUGUGAUACACUUUCAAAGAGUCGGAUUGUUUGGGAAUGCAGUCCAAAAUGGGUGGUAAAUUUCAUCUAAAGCUAAAUAUUGGCGAGAGACCGAUAGCGAACAAGUACCGUGAGGGAAAGAUGAAAAGAACUUUGAAAAGAGAGUUAAACAGUACGUGAAAUUGUCAAAAGGGAAGCGUUUGACACCAGUGUUGUUUUUCUGAAAAUCAAUUAAAGAACUGUUUAUGCUAAGCUGUUUAGACUUUAUCAGCUAUCUGUUUAGUUUUAGGCUUUUCUUUAAUGCACUUUUCAGUUAACAAGUCAACAUCAAUUUCUUUUGCUGUAAAAAAGCUUGAGGAAGGUGGCUUGAGAUUCGUCUUAAGUGUUUAUAGCCUCUUGCCUAUGCAGUCGGAGAGAUUGAGGUCUGCAGCGUAGAUCCUUCGGGGCUAAAUGCAUUUGUGCUAAGUUAUAGCAUUUUAUAGACAACUUGUUGACUAUGAUUUGUCUUGUAGCUUACUCGCUUAUGUUAUUUUACCUACGCUUAGGAUGUUGAGUCGUAGAGCACGCAG
This 774-nucleotide ribosomal RNA is filed under the name uncultured Neocallimastigales. RNAcentral describes it as "partial large subunit ribosomal RNA". It matches the Rfam family "Eukaryotic large subunit ribosomal RNA", at positions 22 to 628 of the family's 3401-position model. The record is from RNAcentral. Lineage: Eukaryota; Fungi; Neocallimastigomycota; Neocallimastigomycetes; Neocallimastigales.